Molecule: ribosomal RNA, 477 nt
Filed under: Lamellibrachia barhami
Lineage: Eukaryota; Metazoa; Annelida; Polychaeta; Sabellida; Siboglinidae
Description: partial 16S ribosomal RNA
Rfam family: Bacterial large subunit ribosomal RNA
Source: RNAcentral
CUGCCCAAUGACACAUAGUUCAAUGGCCGCGGUACCCUGACCGUGCAAAGGUAGCAUAAUCACUUGCCCCUUAAUUAGGGGCUGGCAUGAAAGGACACCACGAAAGCUUCCCUGUCUCACAAUAAUAAAUAAAAAUUAAUCUUCAAGUGAAAAAGCUUGAAUUAAACUGCAGGACAAGAAGACCCCGUUGAGCUUUAUUCUCUAUAGACUAAACCAAAUAUUAAAUACAUUAUAAACCUAAAAAGAAUUUAGUUGGGGUGACUAAGGAACACCAAAAACUUCCUUUUAUUAAUUAGGAUCAUUCUCCAUACAAAUUGACCCAUUACACAUGAUCAAAAAAAUAAGCUACCACAGGGAUAACAGGCUAAUCUUUCUCAAGAGCCCAAAUUGUCAGAAAGGAUUGGCACCUCGAUGUUGGCUUAGGGGCCCCUAAUGGUGCAGAAGCCAUAAAUGGUAGUUUGUUCAACGUAAAACACA